Molecule: microRNA precursor, 85 nt
Filed under: Nannospalax galili (Upper Galilee mountains blind mole rat)
Lineage: Eukaryota; Metazoa; Chordata; Mammalia; Rodentia; Spalacidae
Description: miRNA (ENSNGAG00000005411.1)
Rfam family: Small Cajal body specific RNA 16
About the family: scaRNAs are a specific class of small nuclear RNAs which localise to the Cajal bodies and guide the modification of RNA polymerase II transcribed spliceosomal RNAs U1, U2, U4, U5 and U12. ACA47 belongs to the H/ACA box class of guide RNAs as it has the predicted hairpin-hinge-hairpin-tail structure, the conserved H/ACA-box motifs and is found associated with GAR1.
Source: RNAcentral
UUCCCUGGGUUUAGAAUUUGCAGUAAUAGAUGUGAACAUACUAGCAGCACUUUGAUGAUCAUGUAGGACACUGCAAACAGGACCC